This 168-nucleotide long non-coding RNA is filed under the name Monodelphis domestica (gray short-tailed opossum). RNAcentral's name for it is "lncRNA (ENSMODG00000038430.1)". Lineage: Eukaryota; Metazoa; Chordata; Mammalia; Didelphimorphia; Didelphidae. The record is from RNAcentral.
AACAAUGUGUAAUGAUGACUAUCUUGGCAAACACUGUCUAAUGGCCAGCAAUUGAUACAUGACUCAAGGAGGACAUGAAUUCAGCUCCACUGGAAUCUUGGUCUCCAUCUAUCGGAUAUAAGACUCUGGGAGAAUGUUAUAUACAGUGACCACUGAUUGGGGAAUGGC